Magnolia sinica is the source of this 645-nucleotide long non-coding RNA. RefSeq lists it as uncharacterized. The record is from RefSeq and is a predicted model, not a curated record. The transcript has 2 exons. Lineage: Eukaryota; Viridiplantae; Streptophyta; Magnoliopsida; Magnoliales; Magnoliaceae.
UUAUUAUUUUUAUUUUUGGCUAUUAGUUUCGUACUUGAAUUGGGGUUGAAGAUGUUUCUGAAAUAGUGGAAAUGCGCUAAUCGAUUUUCAGCUUCUCCCCUUUUCCCCUGCUGCUAAUUUUCAUUUUUGAAUACAGUGCUAUUUCUACUUCAGCAAGAAUUUGAUGCGAUUUUAGUAUUAGACUGAUUGUUGAGUUGAAAUUCAGCAACAGAUACCUCACGGUGCUGCACCUCAGCUAACGUACUUGUGGGAUAUGUGCACGCUGGACAGUUCAAAUUUCAGGACUGUGUAUGGAGCAUAGCUGGGAGAGCUCACUGAUGGGUUGGAACUGUUCAGUUACGACCAUCGAUCUGACGGUUAGAGAGAAAAUGGGCCCACGAUUUGGAUGGACGGUGCAUGUAUGCCACAUGCACGGUGGAUGACUUCGGCAAGCAACUGUUAUCCGGCCACAAAGGAUGUAACUCAGACCCUUUGCUUGAUGCGGGCUUGCGCUGUUUGAUUUGUUGCAGAUGAUUUACUCAAUAUGCAGAUGGUUUCACCUAUGUCCUUCAUUUGAAAUGAGAACACGUUUGUUCGCAUUAUGGGAACUAGGGGGCACGGGACGUGCAAGCUUGCAACUCACGCAGAGGGAGUAGGGGAGAGAGA